UGGGGAAUAUUGCACAAUGGGCGCAAGCCUGAUGCAGCCAUGCCGCGUGUAUGAAGAAGGCCUUCGGGUUGUAAAGUACUUUCAGCGGGGAGGAAGGUGUUGAGGUUAAUAACCUCAGCAAUUGACGUUACCCGCAGAAGAAGCACCGGCUAACUCCGUGCCAGCAGCCGCGGUAAUACGGAGGGUGCAAGCGUUAAUCGGAAUUACUGGGCGUAAAGCGCACGCAGGCGGUAUGGCAAGUCGGAUGUGAAAUCCCCGGGCUCAACCUGGGAACUGCAUCCGAAACUGGCAGGCUUGAGUCUUGUAGAGGGGGGUAGAAUUCCAGGUGUAGCGGUGAAAUGCGUAGAGAUCUGGAGGAAUACCGGUGGCGAAGGCGGCCCCCUGGACAAAGACUGACGCUCAGGUGCGAAAGCGUGGGGAGCAAACA
RNAcentral lists this ribosomal RNA (427 nucleotides) under uncultured bacterium. Its description in RNAcentral is "partial 16S ribosomal RNA". It matches the Rfam family "Bacterial small subunit ribosomal RNA", at positions 355 to 774 of the family's 1533-position model. The record is from RNAcentral.